CCUACGGGAGGUAGCAGUGAGGAAUAUUGGUCAAUGGCCGGAAGGCUGAACCAGCCAUGCCGCGUGAAGGUCAGUGCCCUAUGGGCGUUAAACUUCUUUUGUGCGGGAGCAAUAAUGGUCACGUGUGGCCAGACGAGAGUACCGUACGAAUAAGCAUCGGCUAACUCCGUGCCAGCAGCCGCGGUAAUACGGGGGAUGCAAGCGUUAUCCGGAUUUAUUGGGUUUAAAGGGUGCGUAGGCUGUAAGGUAAGUCAGCGGGGAAAUGCCCCCGCUCAACGGGGUGAAGUGCCAUUGAUACUGCCUUGCUGGAAUGCGGAUGCCGUGGGAGGAAUGUGUGGUGUAGCGGUGAAAUGCAUAGAUAUCACACAGAACACCGAUUGCGAAGGCAUCUCACGAAUCCGCGAUUGACGCUGAUGCACGAAAGCGUGGGUAUCAAACAGGAUUAGAUACCCUUGUAGUC
Molecule: ribosomal RNA, 460 nt
Filed under: uncultured bacterium
Lineage: Bacteria
Description: partial 16S ribosomal RNA
Rfam family: Bacterial small subunit ribosomal RNA
Source: RNAcentral